This 274-nucleotide ribosomal RNA is filed under the name uncultured bacterium. Its description in RNAcentral is "partial 16S ribosomal RNA". It matches the Rfam family "Bacterial small subunit ribosomal RNA", at positions 523 to 796 of the family's 1533-position model. The record is from RNAcentral.
AUACGGAGGGGGUUAGCGUUGUUCGGAAUUACUGGGCGUAAAGCGUACGUAGGCGGACUGGAAAGUUGGGGGUGAAAUCCCGGGGCUCAACCCCGGAACUGCCUCCAAAACUUCCAAUCUAGAGAUCGAGAGAGGUGAGUGGAAUUCCAAGUGUAGAGGUGAAAUUCGUAGAUAUUUGGAGGAACACCAGUGGCGAAGGCGGCUCACUGGCUCGAUACUGACGCUGAGGUACGAAAGCGUGGGGAGCAAACGGGAUUAGAUACCCGAGUAGUCC